This 76-nucleotide transfer RNA is filed under the name Myxococcales bacterium. RNAcentral describes it as "tRNA-His". It matches the Rfam family "tRNA". Rfam says of the family: Transfer RNA (tRNA) molecules are approximately 80 nucleotides in length. Their secondary structure includes four short double-helical elements and three loops (D, anti-codon, and T loops). Further hydrogen bonds mediate the characteristic L-shaped molecular structure. tRNAs have two regions of fundamental functional importance: the anti-codon, which is responsible for specific mRNA codon recognition, and the 3' end, to which the tRNAs corresponding amino acid is attached (by aminoacyl-tRNA synthetases). tRNAs cope with the degeneracy of the genetic code in two manners: having more than one tRNA (with a specific anti-codon) for a particular amino acid; and 'wobble' base-pairing, i.e. permitting non-standard base-pairing at the 3rd anti-codon position. The record is from RNAcentral. Lineage: Bacteria; Pseudomonadati; Myxococcota; Myxococcia; Myxococcales.
GUGGGUAUAGCUCAGCUGGUAGAGCACCGGAUUGUGGUUCCGGUCGUCGCGGGUUCAAGUCCCGUUACUCACCCCA